UAAGGAAUAUUGGUCAAUGGGGGCAACCCUGAACCAGCCAUGCCGCGUGCAGGAAGACGGCCCUACGGGUUGUAAACUGCUUUUGUACGGGAAUAAACCUCUCUUCGUGAAGAGAGCUGAACGUACUGUAAGAAUAAGGAUCGGCUAACUCCGUGCCAGCAGCCGCGGUAAUACGGAGGAUCCAAGCGUUAUCCGGAUUUAUUGGGUUUAAAGGGUGCGUAGGCGGCCUAUUAAGUCAGGGGUGAAAGACGGUGGCUCAACCAUCGCAGUGCCUUUGAUACUGAUAGGCUUGAUUACACUUGAGGUAGGCGGAAUGUGACAAGUAGCGGUGAAAUGCAUAGAUAUGUCACAGAACACCAAUUGCGAAGGCAGCUUACUAAGGUGUUAAUGACGCUGAGGCACGAAAGCGUGGGGAUCAAACA
RNAcentral lists this ribosomal RNA (422 nucleotides) under uncultured Pedobacter sp. RNAcentral's name for it is "bacterial SSU rRNA". It matches the Rfam family "Bacterial small subunit ribosomal RNA", at positions 355 to 774 of the family's 1533-position model. Lineage: Bacteria; Pseudomonadati; Bacteroidota; Sphingobacteriia; Sphingobacteriales; Sphingobacteriaceae. The record is from RNAcentral.